AGAUGUGUUGUGUGGUGAUGUCAUAAAAGUGGUUUUCCCAGGAGGAGACUCAUCCAUUGCACUUUGGGUGUGCUGCUGAUCCCUGUGAUUUCCCCAAAUGUGGGGAACUCAACUGCAUAAUUUGUGUUAAUGGGGGAUUGCCCUUGUGAUUUCCCUGG
This 158-nucleotide small nuclear RNA is filed under the name Pogona vitticeps (central bearded dragon). Its description in RNAcentral is "U1 spliceosomal RNA (ENSPVIG00000011608.1)". It matches the Rfam family "U1 spliceosomal RNA". Rfam says of the family: U1 is a small nuclear RNA (snRNA) component of the spliceosome (involved in pre-mRNA splicing). Its 5' end forms complementary base pairs with the 5' splice junction, thus defining the 5' donor site of an intron. The record is from RNAcentral. Lineage: Eukaryota; Metazoa; Chordata; Lepidosauria; Squamata; Agamidae.